GGAGCGGUCGUGGUUUCAGCCUCAGUCUCUGGCAACACUGUGCCUGCUUAUGAUGUGAAGUAGUCUGCUGUGGUGGACCGGGUCGAGCCUUCUGGAGAAACCCGAUCCAGUUCGGGACAGAGUCUGGUCCCGCUGAGAGACCACCGAGGGUUCAGUCAACCUGUGUGUGUUCGGGGGUCAACACACUCCUCGUGCUCUCGCCACAUCUGUGACCUCAUCACGCCAUUUCUGUCUGGUAACCUCGACCCUCCAGUUGAUUGACAGCUGUGACCCCGCCCCCCUUUCAGCAGCAGCAUCUUGGCCACACCAGCAGCUGCAAUGCAUUAUGGCCUCUAUAACUCAUCAGGUGACGUCAGGUGUGACAGCUCACUUCCUGUCUGGGGCGAAGGGUUUCAUCCUUCACCAGAGUUCAUGGCUGUUCCUCCCAUAAUGCACUGCUUCCCGAAGCUCCAGAGUGGAAACAAAGUCAGCCGAGAUUAAAAGUACAAUUUCCUUCAACUUUUUAAAUAA
Long non-coding RNA from Micropterus dolomieu (smallmouth bass), 510 nucleotides. RefSeq lists it as uncharacterized. The record is from RefSeq and is a predicted model, not a curated record. The transcript is spliced from 3 exons. NCBI's taxonomy places the organism in Eukaryota, Metazoa, Chordata, Actinopteri, Centrarchiformes, Centrarchidae.